This 427-nucleotide ribosomal RNA is filed under the name uncultured prokaryote. Its description in RNAcentral is "bacterial SSU rRNA". It matches the Rfam family "Bacterial small subunit ribosomal RNA", at positions 355 to 796 of the family's 1533-position model. The record is from RNAcentral.
UGGGGAAUUUUCCGCAAUGGGCGAAAGCCUGACGGAGCAAGACCGCGUGAGGGAGGAAGGCCUUUGGGUUGUAAACCUCUUUUCUCAGGGAAGAAGACAGUGACGGUACCUGAGGAAUCAGCCUCGGCUAACUCCGUGCCAGCAGCCGCGGUAAUACGGAGGAGGCAAGCGUUAUCCGGAAUUAUUGGGCGUAAAGCGUCCGCAGGUGGUUGGUCAAGUCCGCUGUCAAAGACCGGGGCUCAACCCUGGGCAGGCAGUAGAAACUGACGAACUAGAGUUCGGUAGGGGUAGAGGGAAUUCCCAGUGUAGCGGUGAAAUGCGUAGAGAUUGGGAAGAACACCAGUGGCGAAAGCGCUCUACUGGGCCGAGACUGACACUCAGGGACGAAAGCUAGGGGAGCGAAAGGGAUUAGAUACCCCUGUAGUCC